Long non-coding RNA from Hibiscus syriacus, 236 nucleotides. RefSeq lists it as uncharacterized. The transcript is spliced from 3 exons. Lineage: Eukaryota; Viridiplantae; Streptophyta; Magnoliopsida; Malvales; Malvaceae. The record is from RefSeq and is a predicted model, not a curated record.
UUUAUUGGGAAAAAAAUAAUAUGCACCAAAUACAGAGAGAUAAAUUCUCUACAAAUAGGAAUUGACUUUUGCCCAAUCCUGUUCCACAAAUAAUUUGCACACAAGAGCUAUCUAUUUCUCUUUUUAUCACCCGAAUUUUUGCGUGGUCCUCUUAUAACAUAUAUAACACUAUUAUGGUACAUAGGGAGAGGCAUAUACGUAUGAAAACGUAUGUUAAUAUCAAAUAUUCUAGACAA